RNAcentral lists this ribosomal RNA (413 nucleotides) under uncultured bacterium. Its description in RNAcentral is "bacterial SSU rRNA". It matches the Rfam family "Bacterial small subunit ribosomal RNA", at positions 70 to 479 of the family's 1533-position model. The record is from RNAcentral.
UGAGUGGAGCUUGCUCCAUGAUUCAGCGGCGGACGGGUGAGUAUUGCCUAGGAAUCUGCCUGGUAGUGGGGGACAACGUUUCAAAAGGAACGCUAAUACCGCAUACGUCCUACGGGAGAAAGCAGGGGACCUUCGGGCCUUGCGCUAUCAGAUGAGCCUAGGUCGGAUUAGCUAGUAUGUGGGGUAAUGGCUCACCUAGGCGACGAUCCGUAACUGGUCUGAGAGGAUGAUCAGUCACACUGGAACUGAUACACGGUCCAUACUCCUACGGGAGGCAUCAGUGGGGAAUAUUGGACAAUGGGCGAAAGCCUGAUCCAGCCAUGCCGCGUGUGUGAAGAAGGUCUUCGGAUUGUAAAGCACUUUAAGUUGGGAGGAAGGGCAUUAAGUUAAUACCUUGCUGUUUUGACGUUACC